Molecule: small nuclear RNA, 163 nt
Organism: Octodon degus (degu)
Lineage: Eukaryota; Metazoa; Chordata; Mammalia; Rodentia; Octodontidae
Gene: U1
Rfam family: U1 spliceosomal RNA
About the family: U1 is a small nuclear RNA (snRNA) component of the spliceosome (involved in pre-mRNA splicing).
Source: Ensembl
AUACUUACCUGGCAGGGGAGAUACCGUGAUCACAAAGGUGGUUUUUCCAGCGUGAGGCUUAUCCACUGCGCUCCAGAUGUGCUGACCCCUGCGAUUUCCCCAAAUGCAGGGCACUCCACGGCAUAAUUUGUGGUUGUGGGUUCUGCGUUCAUGCCUUCCCCUG